GGGGGGGGGGGGGGGGGGGGGGGGGGCGGGGGGGGGGGGGGGGGGGGGCGGGCGGGGGGGGGGACCGGGGCGGGGGGGCGGGACGCGUGGGCAAGCUGCCUGGCACGGGGGGGGAGCGCGCAGAAGGUGGGGUUAAUACCCCAUAAUAUUAUUGGAUGGCAUCAUUUGAUAAUUAAAACUGCGGUGGUGAAAGAUGGGCAUGCGUCCUAUUAGCUAGUUGGAGUGGUAACGGCACCCCAAGGCUACGAUAGGUAGGGGUCCUGAGAGGGAGAUCCCCCACACUGGUACUGAGACAGGGACCAGACUCCUACGGGAGGCAGCAGUGAGGAAUAUUGGUCAAGGGUCGGAAGACUGAACCAGCCAUGCCGCGUGCAGGAAGAAUGCCUUAUGGGUUGUAAACUGCUUUUAUAUGGGAAGAAUAAGGCGUACGUGUACGUUGAUGACGGUACCAUAUGAAUAAGCAUCGGCUAACUCCGUG
RNAcentral lists this ribosomal RNA (478 nucleotides) under uncultured bacterium. Its description in RNAcentral is "partial 16S ribosomal RNA". It matches the Rfam family "Bacterial small subunit ribosomal RNA", at positions 35 to 507 of the family's 1533-position model. The record is from RNAcentral.